AUGUGCAGCAUGCAGGCAGAGCAUUGCCAGUACAUGACGGAGCCUGAGCAGAUGUAUCACCAGCAGCAGCAGCAGUUUCAUGAUCACAGGCAGCACAUGUCCUCGAGGCCUAGCUUGUCCCCGGAGAAGAAGUUCUUCAUGAAGGGCCAAGGAGGGGCAGGAGGAGGAGGAGAUUCGGGGCUCAUCCUGUCGACGGAUGCGAAGCCUCGGCUUAAGUGGACUCCUGAGCUGCACGAGCGGUUCGCGGAUGCGGUGAAGAAGCUAGGAGGGCCUGACAAAGCUACGCCGAAGGCAAUCAUGAGGGUCAUGGGAAUCCCGGGAUUAACUCUGUACCAUCUUAAGAGCCACCUCCAGAAAUUCAGACUUAGCAAGAAUCUCCAAGCGCAAGCUAAUGCCGUCAAUGCAAAAAAUGUUUAUGGCUUUGGCACAGCGACGGAUAAAGCGUGUGAAGGGCAUGGAUCAUCAGGUGAUCACCUGAACCGAGAGACGAACACCAGCAGGUCUAUGCACAUAAACGACGCCCUCCAAAUGCAAAUUGAGGUCCAGAGACGACUGCACGAGCAAAUAGAGGUACAAAGGCACCUGCAGCUCCGGAUCGAAGCCCAGGGGAAGUACCUGCACUCCGUGCUGGAGAAGGCGCAGGAGGCGCUCGGGAAGCAGCACGUCGUCGCCGGCCUCGAGGCGGCGGAGCCCACGCAGCGGCUGCCGGAGCUAGCCUCGUCGGUGAGACGAGGAUUACUCCAGAACGACGGCUCGGCCGAUGACAGCUGCCUGACCGCGUCCGAGGACAUCCUCUCCAUGGGCCUCUCCGCGUCUGCCACCCGUAGAGGCUGCGGCGCUCCGUUCGAAACCUCGGCGAGCGCGAGCCGCGAGGAGGACGAGGAAUGCUACCUGUUUCUCGGCAAGCCUGAGGGGCGGCGUGAGGUCAGGAGGGACGGGUGCAACGGUGGCGCGGCGUUCGGGAAGGCGGCGGAGCUGGACCUUAGCAUCGGCGUCGUCGCGGCGAGCAGCAGGCGGCGGCCGGACGGCGGCGACAGGCUUGACCUGAACGGAUCAGGCUGGAACUGA
Molecule: ribosomal RNA, 1068 nt
Filed under: Triticum aestivum (bread wheat)
Lineage: Eukaryota; Viridiplantae; Streptophyta; Magnoliopsida; Poales; Poaceae
Description: partial small subunit ribosomal RNA
Source: RNAcentral